UGCCCCAUAGUCUGGGAUACCACUUGGAAACAGGUGCUAAUACCGGAUAAGAAAGCGGAUCGCAUGAUCAGCUUUUAAAAGGCGGCGUAAGCUGUCGCUAUGGGAUGGCCCCGCGGUGCAUUAGCUAGUUGGUAAGGUAAAGGCUUACCAAGGCGAUGAUGCAUAGCCGAGUUGAGAGACUGAUCGGCCACAUUGGGACUGAGACACGGCCCAAACUCCUACGGGAGGCAGCAGG
This 235-nucleotide ribosomal RNA is filed under the name uncultured Lactobacillus sp. RNAcentral's name for it is "partial 16S ribosomal RNA". It matches the Rfam family "Bacterial small subunit ribosomal RNA", at positions 127 to 354 of the family's 1533-position model. Lineage: Bacteria; Bacillati; Bacillota; Bacilli; Lactobacillales; Lactobacillaceae. The record is from RNAcentral.